Molecule: ribosomal RNA, 454 nt
Filed under: uncultured bacterium
Lineage: Bacteria
Description: bacterial SSU rRNA
Rfam family: Bacterial small subunit ribosomal RNA
Source: RNAcentral
UACGGGAGGCAGCAGUGGGGAAUAUUGCACAAUGGGCGCAAGCCUGAUGCAGCCAUGCCGCGUGUAUGAAAAAGGCCUUCGGGUUGUAAAGUACUUUCAGUCGUGAGGAAGGUGUUAAGGUUAAUAACCUUAGCAAUUGACGUUAGCGACAGAAGAAGCACCGGCUAACUCCGUGCCAGCAGCCGCGGUAAUACGGAGGGUGCGAGCGUUAAUCGGAAUUACUGGGCGUAAAGGGCACGCAGGCGGUUAAUUAAGUUGGAUGUGAAAUCCCCGGGCUUAACCUGGGAAUGGCAUUCAAGACUGGUUAGCUAGAGUCUUGUAGAGGGGGUAGAAUUCCAUGUGUAGCGGUGAAAUGCGUAGAGAUGUGGAGGAAUACCGGUGGCGAAGGCGGCCCCUGGGACAAAGGCUGACGCUCAUGUGCGAAAGCGUGGGGAGCAAACAGGGAUUAGAUACC